AUCAAUGGGUGAUCAAUGGGUGAUCAAUGAGGCCCAUUGCCUAGGUCAGUGGCCUCCAUUGCACGUCAGAGGGGUGCUGCCCUAAGGUCUGUCCAACGUGGCAGAGCCUACGUCAGAAUUUGUGGCAGUGGGGGCCUGCGUUCGCGCGGCCCCUG
Corylus avellana is the source of this 155-nucleotide small nuclear RNA. RefSeq annotates it as U1 spliceosomal RNA. The record is from RefSeq and is a predicted model, not a curated record. Lineage: Eukaryota; Viridiplantae; Streptophyta; Magnoliopsida; Fagales; Betulaceae.